AGCAGCCGCGGUAAUUCCAGCUCCAAUAGCGUAUAUUAAAGUUGUUGCAGUUAAAAAGCUCGUAGUUGAAUUUCGGGAUCAGAUUGUCGGUCGUGCCUCGGUACGUACUGGCAUUAUUGGUUCCUACCUUCUGAAGAACCGCGAUGUCAUUAAUUUGGUGUCGUGGGGAAUCAGGACUGUUACUUUGAAAAAAUUAGAGUGUUUAAAGCAGGCGCACGCUUGAAUACAUUAGCAUGGAAUAAUGAAAUAGGACGUUUGAUUCUAUUUUGUUGGUUUCUAGGAUUGACGUAAUGAUUAAUAGGGAUAGUUGGGGGCAUUAGUAUUCAAUUGUCAGAGGUGAAAUUCUUGGAUUUAUUGAAGACUAACUACUGCGAAAGCAUUUGCCAAGGAUGUUUUCAUUAAUCAAGAACGAAAGUUAGGGGAUCGAAGACGAUCAGAUACCGUCGUAGU
This 450-nucleotide ribosomal RNA is filed under the name uncultured Glomeromycotina. Its description in RNAcentral is "SSU rRNA". It matches the Rfam family "Eukaryotic small subunit ribosomal RNA", at positions 569 to 1024 of the family's 1831-position model. Lineage: Eukaryota; Fungi; Glomeromycota. The record is from RNAcentral.